ACCGUAGCUGGACUGAGUCACAGACAUCUGAAGACAAGCUACACGUGCAAGUUCUCUCUCUUCUCUCACCGACGAACUCUCAUCAUGAAGACCGCUGUCCUGCUCGUUGUGCUGGGGCUGGUAGUGGCUGAGGCCAACGUGAUCCAUGUAAGACGUGACAACGAGAAGUCGACUGGUUCGGAAAGGUCCAUCCCGUGCCCAACAGGCGCACAGUGCUACUCCGGCAACUGUGGUGUCCUGGUGUCGUUUGGGUCCCAGGCCAUAUGUUGCUGUGGAGGGUCCGAUAUGACUGUUCACGGCAGUCUCAACUUGGCCAAUCUCUACGGGACUCAGUGUACCUGCAGCUAGUAAAACUCUUUGACCUGAUGCACGUCAAGGGCACGUCGAAUCAUCUGAUAUUUGGGUGUCUCCCACUACAGGCUGCCGACGUUACAAUGUUAUGUCUAUCUAUCUUUUAAUGUGAAUAAAUCCACCAAACGGUC
This is a long non-coding RNA of Branchiostoma belcheri (Belcher's lancelet), 482 nucleotides long. RefSeq lists it as uncharacterized. The record is from RefSeq and is a predicted model, not a curated record. The transcript has 3 exons. Lineage: Eukaryota; Metazoa; Chordata; Leptocardii; Amphioxiformes; Branchiostomatidae.